UUUAUUUUGGAAUCUUUUCCUGUUCUCAAUCAUACAAUAAUAUUUUCACCAAAAAAAAAAAAACAAAAUAAAUAAAUAAAUAAAUAAAUGGAAAAGCCUCGGACUCACCCCCAACUGCUGUUCUAUGCUUUCUUUUAUAUAAGGCCCUUCAACCAGUGAGCUUGGAUAUCCCUCAGUGACUCUUCUCUCUUCUUCAAUCUUCACCACCAUGGGAUCCUCGCUGUUGCUCCCACUGCUCUGCGCCGGGGUGGUCACUGUGGCCACUCUCUUCCUCCCCUCUUCCUUCGCCUCCGAGGCUUAUCCCUCUGCCUACGGCUCGGGCUCCUGCAACGUCGAGCUCAUCCCCGUGAAACGAGAGGUCUACGCCGACGGACGUAUCUUCGACAUCACUCACCCAUACACCCCCAACAUGCCCACCUUUGGGACCGACGAGGGAAUCGGCGAGGUCAUAUGGUUGGAGAAGAGUAUGAAGAACGGAUCUAUCACCAAUAACUCUCACAUGAAAAUGCCCACUCAUACCGGCACGCACGUUGACUCGCCGGGCCACGUCUUCGACCACUACUUCGAUGCUGGCUUCGACGUCGAGACUCUUGACCUUGAAGUUCUCAACGGACCUGCACUGUUGGUUGAUGCUCCAAGGGAUAAGAACAUUACUGCUGAAGCUAUGGAGUCCCUACAGAUUCCAAAGGGGGUACGUCGUGUGCUUUUCAGAACAUUAAACACUGACAGGAAGCUUAUGUUCAAAAAGGAAUUUGAAUCAGACUAUGCUGGAUUCACAGAGGAUGGAGCAAGAUGGCUAGUUGAGAAUACCGACAUUAAACUUGUUGGGAUUGAUUACGUAUCUGUUGCAACCUAUGAUCAUAUUGUCUCUGCCCAUCUUCCUUUCCUUGAAGGCAGGGAAGUGAUUCUUGUGGAAUCCCUGAAACUUGACGAUGUGCCAGCUGGAAUGUAUAAUGUCCAUUGCUUACAUCUGAGGUUGCCUGGGGCUGAGGGAGCACCCAUAAGAUGCAUUCUCAUUAAGUGAUCACCCUCCUGUAAAAUACUUUAAGUGGUUUAUCACCACAAAGUUGAGUGUCUGUUAUCAUCUUCUGCUAGUUAGUUUGUGCUGAGAAGUUAGCCAAAUAAGACGCAUUCUCCUUAUGCCAAAACUUUCUCCCAAGUUCUGUAAUGUAAGUGGGUUACCACCACGUAGCCUGUGUGUCUGUUAUCAUAUUUUGCUUGUUAAUUCCAAAUCUCUGCUUCAUUCCCUAGGUAAA
Vitis vinifera (wine grape) is the source of this 1256-nucleotide RNA transcript. It is a transcript of the gene named cyclase-like protein 2, with no coding region annotated. The record is from RefSeq and is a predicted model, not a curated record. The transcript has 6 exons. NCBI's taxonomy places the organism in Eukaryota, Viridiplantae, Streptophyta, Magnoliopsida, Vitales, Vitaceae.